GGAGGUGUAGCUCAGUGGUAGAGCAUAUAUUUAGGAUGGGUGAAGCCCUGGGUUCCAUCUCCAGCAUCACUA
This is a non-coding RNA of Ictidomys tridecemlineatus (thirteen-lined ground squirrel), 72 nucleotides long. The record is from Rfam. NCBI's taxonomy places the organism in Eukaryota, Metazoa, Chordata, Mammalia, Rodentia, Sciuridae.